CCGCUUGAUGACAUGUGAAUAGGAA
Molecule: non-coding RNA, 25 nt
Filed under: Mus musculus (house mouse)
Lineage: Eukaryota; Metazoa; Chordata; Mammalia; Rodentia; Muridae
Source: RNAcentral